This is a long non-coding RNA of Dendrobium catenatum, 513 nucleotides long. RefSeq lists it as uncharacterized. NCBI's taxonomy places the organism in Eukaryota, Viridiplantae, Streptophyta, Magnoliopsida, Asparagales, Orchidaceae. The transcript is spliced from 3 exons. The record is from RefSeq and is a predicted model, not a curated record.
CUAAGCAUUCGAGGCGUACCGAAAAAUCUUCCUUCUCCUCCAACUCCAGUCCUAAGGUAACUGAGAUUUUCACGUGAGGGGUUCAGUUAUUUUCAAUCUUAUUAAUUGCGAUUGAAGAAAACCCAUCUAGGGAUUUGAUCUCGCAGGAGGUCGGAGUCAGCGGUGAGCGAGAACAGGAAUCCUAGGUCAGAUUCGGCUUCCAUCGAUGAAGAGGAUCGAAGAGUCUGCAGAAAAACUUGCUUUUGCUGAGCCCUGGAGCAUAGCUGACGGAAGUUCAGGAAAGAGGAGGAGAGGGUUGAAAGCUAUGUUCCUGAAAAACGAUUCAGAAUGAGUAGGAAAUAGAAUGAAAAAUUGGAAAUUUGAAGGAAAUAUGGUGUUUAUUUUGUUGGAGGGGAUGGAUUUUGAGGAUCUGUUCUGUAAAAUUAUUUUCUUUUGUUUUGAUUGAUAUAGUUCUUACUCAGAUUUGUAAGUUUUUUUUUAACGUCUUUUAUUAUUUUAAUCAUUUUCUGGCGA